This is a long non-coding RNA of Temnothorax curvispinosus, 514 nucleotides long. RefSeq lists it as uncharacterized. NCBI's taxonomy places the organism in Eukaryota, Metazoa, Arthropoda, Insecta, Hymenoptera, Formicidae. The record is from RefSeq and is a predicted model, not a curated record. The transcript has 3 exons.
UGAUGAUGAUGAUGAUGAUGAUGAUGAUGAUGAUGAUGAUGGUGAUGAUGAUGAUGAUGAUGAUGAUGAUGAUGCACUGCGCCGAGAGAAGUUGCUAGACAAGUGUGGAGCGAGUGCUUUUUUGAAAGCGUGGGGAAGUUUUUUUCAUUGCGAGAGCGUACGUCGCGAUCUGCAGCGGUGGUUGAUCGCGAUUAAUCCACGCUUGCUCUCGUAGAAGAGAAGGCAGAUUACUCCUGAGGCAGACGCGGACGUAAACUUACGUUUGGAAAAGUCUACUUAAAUUUGGAGAGGUCUACUGGCCUGGAGAUGUUAACUGAUGACAAGCUGCGAACAAUUAAAAUUCGAUUAUCUGUUGAACAUCGCAUGUGAGGACUUUGAAUAUAAUGUGGAGCAUACGACAAACAUUAAAGACGAACGUCGAAUCACAAAUAAAGCUGCAUAUUAUAUAUCAUGAAUAUUAUAUUGUAAACAUUUUUAUUUUUUUGUAUAUGUUUUGUGUCUUUAUAUGUGUGUA